CGUAGGGCGCAAGCGUUGUCCGGAAUUAUUGGGCGUAAAGAGCUCGUAGGCGGCUUGUCACGUCGGGUGUGAAAGCCCGGGGCUUAACCCCGGGUCUGCAUUCGAUACGGGCUAGCUAGAGUGUGGUAGGGGAGAUCGGAAUUCCUGGUGUAGCGGUGAAAUGCGCAGAUAUCAGGAGGAACACCGGUGGCGAAGGCGGAUCUCUGGGCCAUUACUGACGCUGAGGAGCGAAAGCGUGGGGAGCGAACAGGAUUAGAUACCCUGGUAGUCCACGCCGGAAACGGUGGGAACUAGGUGUUGGCGACAUUCCACGUCGUCGGUGCCGCAGCUAACGCAUUAAGUUCCCCGCCUGGGGAGUACGGCCGCAAGGCUA
This 373-nucleotide ribosomal RNA is filed under the name uncultured organism. Its description in RNAcentral is "bacterial SSU rRNA". It matches the Rfam family "Bacterial small subunit ribosomal RNA", at positions 526 to 896 of the family's 1533-position model. The record is from RNAcentral.